Stegostoma tigrinum is the source of this 1128-nucleotide long non-coding RNA. RefSeq lists it as uncharacterized. The transcript is spliced from 2 exons. The record is from RefSeq and is a predicted model, not a curated record. NCBI's taxonomy places the organism in Eukaryota, Metazoa, Chordata, Chondrichthyes, Orectolobiformes, Stegostomatidae.
GAGGGUGGCUGCGGACCGUCCCCUACCGCCCAAGUUUGCAGCUCCUCCUGGCGAGAGUGCUGCAGCUCGGCCAGGAUUCGCCAGUUUUAGACUGAAAGUUUAAGCCGCGCUGCGAUACCUUGGGGCACUGCCGCUGCUCCGUUCACCAGAGCGACAGACGCGCAGAGCCAGGCACCCAGGACGCUGCCGAGCCUCCGCUGCCACAGCCACAUUACGCCUCCCCGUCGCUAUUCCCAGUCACGGCAACUCCUCUCUUCCCGCUCACACAUACACUUUCGUUUUCUCGGCGCCUCUCUGGAGCCGCAUGCGCCUUGUCUUUGGACAAAUCUGCUCCACUGGUGACUGGCUGAGGUUUUGCGUCUGUUUUGUUGGACAAUCCCCUCAUUGCAGGGAAAUCUUAAAAGAGUUUCUUGGAGUUCAAGGUUAGUCGUCAGGAGGCAGCUUGUUCAAGCUAGCAGAGCUUACUGAAAUGGGAAGGGGGUUGGUUUUGGAUUCUGAGGCUGGCGUGGAACGUCAAAGGAAGCCGGACCAGCUCGGAAGCACUCCGCUUUCUUCUGAAAGUCAGGUUUAAGAUUAUUGCGCCUCAAAUCAAAACGGGAAACUGGUGGGAAACAUUGCGGAAAUUGACUUUUUUUUUGCUGUCAGAGUUCCGAAGACGGAUAUGGCGAAGCAUCAUUCCAAAUACAAAUCAAAAAACAUUUGAAGGACUAUUAUCUAUCAGAUUCAUCUGAUUUAGUAAUGUUUUGUAGCGUUGGAUAGAUAGCAUGCAUCAAGACUAACAGAUGAUAAUAAUCUGAGAUGUGCUAUCAAUUAUCUCAGUGUCAUCAUGAUUGUGAAUAUGUUCGCAUCGGACAAUACUAAAACGUCGUGUACUGCCAAGGGCUGAUACAACUGCAUCUCCAGAGUCCAGUGGGAGACCGCUUUGUCCUUCUAGCGUAUGUUCAAUGCUUCAGUCUUACAGAGCCAGGUGUUGUUACUAAACUCACAUCAUCUGUAUCAAUAAUUAUGUUAAUAUAUUGUAUAUCUAUUUUCCAAUCAAUCCUGUAACCCGCUGUGAACUUUAAACCGGCUUUCCGAACAUGGUCAUGUACAAUACUUGUCAGUCACAAAAUAAACAUGAUCUAACAA